This 415-nucleotide ribosomal RNA is filed under the name uncultured bacterium. Its description in RNAcentral is "bacterial SSU rRNA". It matches the Rfam family "Bacterial small subunit ribosomal RNA", at positions 50 to 479 of the family's 1533-position model. The record is from RNAcentral.
UACACAUGCAAGUCGAACGGCAGCACGGACUUCGGUCUGGUGGCGAGUGGCGAACGGGUGAGUAAUACAUCGGAACGCGUCCUGGAGUGGGGGAUAGCCCGGCGAAAGCCGGAUUAAUACCGCAUACGCUCUGAGGAGGAAAGGGGGGGAUCGAAAGACCUCUCGCUCAAGGGGCGGCCGAUGGCAGAUUAGCUAGUUGGUGGGGUAAAGGCCUACCAAGGCGACGAUCUGUAGCUGGUCUGAGAGGACGACCAGCCACACCGGGACUGAGACACGGCCCAGACUCCUACGGGAGGCAGCAGUGGGGAAUUUUGGACAAUGGGCGCCAGCCUGAUCCAGCAAUGCCGCGUGUGUGAAAAAAGCCUUCGGGUUGUAAAGCACUUUCGUCCGGAAAGAAAUCCUCUGGGUUAAUACC